Molecule: long non-coding RNA, 1170 nt
Filed under: Eutrema salsugineum
Lineage: Eukaryota; Viridiplantae; Streptophyta; Magnoliopsida; Brassicales; Brassicaceae
Description: long non-coding RNA (ESAL_LNC001507)
Source: RNAcentral
GUUUAGGGCAUAUAUGAUCAAAUUGAGAAAAAAGGCAGAAGCUUUCAGCAUCCAAGCUUCUACUGCUAGUUUGAUAAAUCCUGAAUUUAGGAAGCUUUCAGCAUCCAAGCUUCUACUGCUGGUUUGAUAGAGCCUGAAUUUAGGAAGCUUUCUUGAGCUUGUAAAAAAGAUUUCCUAAAUCGUCCUUGUGUUAUGAUCUUACAUCCUUUUGAGUUAAUGUAAUUUUUGGGAGAGUACCACUAUGGCCUAGAUUUGUUCAUAAUGUUUCUUUACUUACUUGGAGAAGCCAAUGUGUGACUUUGAGUAACUGGCUGACUAUAUUUAAUUUGACAUAUUUGGGUAGAUCGAGAUGGAGGAAAGGUAACAUGGAAGAGGCUAUACUCUGGUCUUGGUAGAAACCUUGUUGGUGUCUUACUGUAAGUUCAUGCUUAUCUUUCAAGUUGUGCUUUACAUGUAUUCUGCAGUGGGUCAAUUCAACUUAUUGUAAAAAGAAAAGAAUAAGUUCUUAUAAUUCCGUACUGAAUAAGCAUCUGACAAUUUGGAUAUUGGUAAUAGUGUAUACUGGAUUCGUUUUGGUGAAGAGCAUUCCCGUAAGGUGAUACUUCUUUUGUUACAUCAGUACCAAAAUCCUUGAGCUUUCUCAUAAUUGUCGUUUAGAGGACAGAGUUCCCUUUCCCGUUUCUGAUGAUGAUUCCCGUUGUAUGGUCAGAAGUUCAAACCUAGCCGCCUCUUUGGUAUUGAAUACAUGUUUUUUCAUCUUGUGGUACUUAAUUUUACUAUAGUUUUCUUGAGUGAUUCAUUUAGUACUCCUACGCAGAAACUGCAACAGGUCGAGAGGAGAAGAAAAAGCAGAAGUAAGAGGAGAAGAAGCUUAAAGAGACGUGUUCCCAGCCCAACAAUAACAAGGUCCUCCGUUUUGAUGCAGAGUCUUCACUCACAAAGAAAUGGUUUGGAACGAUGUUUUCGAAGAAGAAAAUACCUGCAAAGAAACUGCAAAGCUUUUUGUUUCUAAACAAGCCUUUGUAAAAAUUUCAGGAAAGCUUCCUUAAACAUUAAGAAGACCUUCCUAAAUAUUGAGAAAGACAUUGUAGAUGUUUAGAAAUAAUAUUGAAAAGGUUAGAAAAAGUUAUGUAAAACUUCUUAAUUAUUUUUUAAAAAAUUUCCAAAUUC